UACGGAGGAUGCCAGCGUUAUCCGGAUUUAUUGGGUUUAAAGGGUGCGUAGGCGGACUGUCAAGUCAGCGGUAAAAUUGAGAGGCUCAACCUCUUCCCGCCGUUGAAACUGGUGGUCUUGAGUGGAUGAGAAGUACGCGGAAUGCGUGGUGUAGCGGUGAAAUGCAUAGAUAUCACGCAGAACUCCGAUUGCGAAGGCAGCGUACCGGCAUCCAACUGACGCUGAGGCACGAAAGCGUGGGGAUCAAACAGG
This 252-nucleotide ribosomal RNA is filed under the name uncultured bacterium. Its description in RNAcentral is "partial 16S ribosomal RNA". It matches the Rfam family "Bacterial small subunit ribosomal RNA", at positions 524 to 776 of the family's 1533-position model. The record is from RNAcentral.